UACGGAGGGAGCUAGCGUUGUUCGGAAUUACUGGGCGUAAAGCGCACGUAGGCGGCUUUGUACGUUAGAGGUGAAAGCCCGGAGCUCAACUCCGGAAUUGCCUUUAAGACUGCAUCGCUUGAAUCCAGGAGAGGUGAGUGGAAUUCCGAGUGUAGAGGUGAAAUUCGUAGAUAUUCGGAAGAACACCAGUGGCGAAGGCGGCUCACUGGACUGGUAUUGACGCUGAGGUGCGAAAGCGUGGGGAGCAAACAGG
Molecule: ribosomal RNA, 253 nt
Filed under: uncultured bacterium
Lineage: Bacteria
Description: partial 16S ribosomal RNA
Rfam family: Bacterial small subunit ribosomal RNA
Source: RNAcentral